CAAAAUGAAUCUGACUUCACAUUUAUAUUUUAUAUUAUAUUUUAUUAUAUUAUAUAUACUUAGUGUUUCGUGGGAGAAAUGAACCGACUAUCUGGAAAGUCUAGGGGUCAGAUGAGCAGUCUGCAGGUGAGCAGUCUGAUAACACACAAAUGCGUCUUUAAUUCUUUUACACGCUCUUAACAGCUUUUUUUUUGUUGUUGCAUUGUUUUGCAUGCACAUUCUACCCUCCACAUUAAGGACUGACUGAACUCCCCUUUAAUACUCAAGCGGUCACAAUGACAGUCCCAACGCCAGAUGAGUUAGUGUCAGUCAGGUGACAGGGCGGACAGAGCGGUCAGGUGACAGGGCGGACAGAGCGGUCAGGUGACAGGGCGGUGGACUCACGGCUGCGUAGCGGCUUUGGAACAUGCGCGGU
Long non-coding RNA from Anguilla anguilla (European eel), 415 nucleotides. RefSeq lists it as uncharacterized. The record is from RefSeq and is a predicted model, not a curated record. The transcript is spliced from 3 exons. Lineage: Eukaryota; Metazoa; Chordata; Actinopteri; Anguilliformes; Anguillidae.